RNA transcript from Lethenteron reissneri (Far Eastern brook lamprey), 3629 nucleotides. It is a transcript of the gene named synaptopodin-like, with no coding region annotated. The record is from RefSeq and is a predicted model, not a curated record. Lineage: Eukaryota; Metazoa; Chordata; Hyperoartia; Petromyzontiformes; Petromyzontidae.
GCAGCUGGGGCAUCUACACCAUCAGCUAGGCCACGCCCCUGUCCAGCCCCCACCGUCCAAUCGCGGCGCGGCACGCCCCCUCGCGCCUCCGCCCGUCGUCCAAUGGGAGGAGGCGCCCCAGUCGGGGGCGUGGCCUGCUGCUGAGGCCACGCCCACUGCGAGAACGGACACCGCCGGCGGACACCGCACGGGAAUCUUGGACGAGAUGGCGACCAAACAGCGGCUGGGAGCCUCCACAAAGCCCAUGUUCACCUUCAGAGAGAAGUGUCGUGUGGGCCCCAACCCGGACCUUGUGGCCCUGGUCCGUGGCCUGGACGCGGCCCCCCGGGGCCCGGCCCACGGCCAGGCAGAGAGUCAGGCCGAGGGGCAGGCUGAGCGAGUCGCUAGGCCCAAGAAAGAGGCCCCCGAACCUCCACCAAAACCACGAGCCGGGCUCCACGCCCCCUGCGAGGUGGCCCACUCCGUGGGGUUGGUGGCGAGCGAAGGGAAGGGAGCGGCGCUCUUCGCCAGGCGGCAAACUCGCAUGGAGAGGUUCACCUCGCAGGGGACGGGCGGAGCUACGAGCAACGACGGCGCGGAGGCCACGCCCCCAGAGCGGCCGUUGGAUGAGUGACGUCACCGCUGAGCCUCAGCGGAGUGACGUCAGCGCUGAGCCUCAGCGGAGUGACGUCACCCUCAACCGCCACACACAAACUCCGCCCACACCGGAAGCUGACGUCACCGCUGAGCCUCAGUGGGGUGACGUCACCCUCAACCCCCCCCACCCCCUCCCCAUCAACGCGUGACGUCAUCGCGAGCGGAAGUAGCCCCCACCUCCCUCCCUCCCCAAUGACGUCACCGCAUCAACGUAAGCGAUGACGUCACCACGCAAUGACGUCGGCGUGUAAUCGAGUUAAGAGAUGACGUCACCACCUGAGUGACGCCGCCGCAGUGACGUCACCGAUAGUCAAGGGGGUCGUGACGUCACCGGUGUUUACCUGAGCGAUGACGUCACCACAGGUUUGCCCCUUCUUCGUACAAUGACGUCGGCAGUAAUCAAGACAGAGCGACGUCAUCAGUGUUCAGAGGGGGGGAGGUGGUGACGUCAUCGCUGGGCUGCGUCACUGUACGUGGACGUGACGUCAUUGGGAAGGGCGGGAACCAGGCAUUGUGACGUCACGAUGUGCCACGUGGCCACGUGACGGUAAUGAUGGUGGCGGUUGUUGUUGAUGGUGAUGAUGGUGAUGAUGGUGAUGGUGGUGAUGGUGGUGGUGAUGGUGGUGGUGAUGGUGGUGGUGGUGAUGAUGGUGGUGGUGAUGGUGGUGAUAGUGAUGAUGGUGGUGGUGAUGGUGGUGGUGGUGAUGGUGGUGGUGGUGAUGAUGGUGGUGGUGCCGGUGGUGAUGGUGAUGAUGGUGAUGGUGGUGAUGGUGGUGGUGAUGGUGGUGGUGAUGAUGGUGGUGGUGAUGGUGUUGUUGAUGGUGAUGAUGGUGAUGAUGGUGAUGGUGGUGAUGGUGGUGGUGGUGAUGGUGGUGGUGAUGGUGGUGGUGGUGAUGAUGGUGGUGGUGCCGGUGGUGAUGGUGAUGAUGGUGGUGGUGAUGGUGGUGGUGGUGAUGGUGGUGAUGGCCAGGCUGAGCUGGAUGGGUCACCUCCUCCUGGUGCACCUAGCCUGGCACAGCAGUACAAUCCAUGGCACCUGCUGGGUCUGUCACGUGACCUCCUCCUGCACCUAGCCUGGCACAGCAGCACAACCCAUGGCACCUGCUGGGUCUGUCACGUGACCUCCUCCUCAUGCACCUAGCCUGGCACAGCAGUACAACCCAUGGCACCUGCUGGGUCUGACCCGUGACCUCCUCCUCAUGCACCUAGCCUGGCACAGCAGUACAACCCAUGGCACCUGCAGGGUCUGUCCCGUGACCUCCUCUUCAUGAACCUAGCCUGGCACAGCAGUACAACCCAUGGCACCUGCUGGGUCUGUCCCGUGACCUCCUCCUCAUGCACCUAGCCUGGCACAGCAGUACAACCCAUGGCACCUGCUGGGUCUGACCCGUGACCUCCUCCUCAUGCACCUAGCCUGGCCCAGCAGUACAACCCAUGGCACCUGCUGGGUCUGUCCCGUGACCUCCUCCUCAUGCACCUAGCCUGGCACAGCAGUACAACCCAUGGCACCUGCUGGGUCUGUCCCGUGACCUCCUCCUCAUGCACCUAGCCUGGCACAGCAGUACAACCCAUGGCACCUGCUGGGUCUGUCCCGUGACCUCCUACUCAUGCACCUAGCCUGGCACAGCAGUCAACCCAUGGCACCUGCUGGGUCUGACCCGUGACCUCCUCCUCCUGCACCUAGCCUGGCACAGCAGUACAACCCAUGGCACCUGCAGGGUCUGUCCCGUGACCACCUCAUGCACCUAGCCUGGCACAGCAGUACAACCCAUGGCACCUGCUGGGUCUGUCCCGUGACCUCCUCCUCAUGCACCUAGCCUGGCACAGCAGCAGGACAACCCAUGGCAUCUGCAGGAUCGGACUACGUACGGUGCGAAGGAAGUUCAACACACGUACACACAGACACACACACGCUGCCUUAUAUAAUGGACUUAGACUUUCAAUGUUAAAGUCUCCCAUAGACUCCAAUGUUAAAGUCUCCCAUAGACUUCAAUGUUAAAGUCUCCCAUAGACUCCAAUGUUAAAGUCUCCCAUAGACUCCAAUGUUAAAGUCUCCCAUAGACUCCAAUGUUAAAGUCUCCCAUAGACUCCAAUGUUAAAGUCUCCCAUAGACUUCAAUGUUAAAGUCUCCCAUAGACUUCAAUGUUAAAGUCUCCCAUCGACUCCAAUGUUAAAGUCUCCCCAUAGACUCCAAUGUUAAAGUCUCCCAUAGACUCCAAUGUUAAAGUCUCCCAUAGACUUCAAUGUUAAAGGCCCCCAUCGACUCCAAUGUUAAAGUCUCCCAUAGACUUCAAUGUUAAAGUCUCCCAUAGACUACAAUGUUAAAGUCUCCCAUAGACUCCAAUGUUAAAGUCUCCCAUAGACUCCAAUGUUAAAGUCUCCCAUAGACUCCAAUGUUAAAGUCUCCCAUAGACUUCAAUGUUAAAGUCUCCCAUAGACUUCAAUGUUAAAGUCUCCCAUCGACUCCAAUGUUAAAGUCUCCCCAUAGACUCCAAUGUUAAAGUCUCCCAUAGACUCCAAUGUUAAAGUCUCCCAUAGACCUCAAUGUUAAAGUCUCUACCCAUAGAUUUCAAUGUUAAAGUCUCCCAUAGACCUCAAUGUUAAAGUCUCCCAUAGACUUCAAUGUUAAAGUCUCCCAUAGACUUCAAUGUUAAAGUCUCUACCCAUAGAUUUCAAUGUUAAAGUCUCCCAUAUACUUCAAUGUUAAAGUCUCCCAUAGACUUCAAUGUUAAAGUCUCUACCCAUAGAUUUCAAUGUUAAAGUCUCCCAUAGACCUCAAUGUUAAAGUCUCUACCCAUAGACUUCAAUGUUAAAGUCUCCCAUAGACCUCAAUGUUAAAGUCUCUACCCAUAGACUUCAAUGUUAAAGUCUCCCCAUAGACUUCAAUGUUAUGGGAGUGGAGGGAAAUGGGGACCCCACAUAAUACAGUACAACAUUAUAUAUUCAAUAUAUCUCAUCAUGUAUACCGUGUUCAGCAUAUGCCCACUAAUAAA